CCUACGGGGGGCAGCAGUAGGGAAUUUUCGGCAAUGGGGGGAACCCUGACCGAGCAACGCCGCGUGAACGAAGAAGUUAUUCGUAAUGUAAAGUUCUUUUAACAGGGAAGAAAGAGAAAUUUGACGGUACCCGAAGAAAAAGCAUCGGCUAACUCCGUGCCAGCAGCCGCGGUAAUACGGGGGAUGCGAGCGUUAUCCGGAUUUAUUGGGUUUAAAGGGUGCGCAGGCGGAAGAUCAAGUCAGCGGUAAAAUUGAGAGGCUCAACCUCUUCGAGCCGUUGAAACUGGUUUUCUUGAGUGAGUGAGAAGUAUGCGGAAUGCGUGGUGUAGCGGUGAAAUGCAUAGAGAUCACGCAGAACUCCGAUUGCGAAGGCAGCAUACCGGCGCUCAACUGACGCUCAUGCACGAAAGUGUGGGUAUCGAACAGGAUUAGAUACCCGAGUAGUC
Molecule: ribosomal RNA, 446 nt
Filed under: uncultured bacterium
Lineage: Bacteria
Description: partial 16S ribosomal RNA
Rfam family: Bacterial small subunit ribosomal RNA
Source: RNAcentral